Molecule: microRNA precursor, 67 nt
Filed under: Bombyx mori (domestic silkworm)
Lineage: Eukaryota; Metazoa; Arthropoda; Insecta; Lepidoptera; Bombycidae
Description: mir-2774 microRNA precursor family
Rfam family: mir-2774 microRNA precursor family
Source: Rfam by way of RNAcentral
ACAACAUUCCCACAGUUACUCUACCGAGCAAUUUCGUCCGCUCGGUGGAAGAUCUUUCCUUUGUCGA